UUGCUAUAUUCUCACCAAAUGCACGGUUUAUUUUCUUAGACCUACUAUUAAACAAAGUCUUAACUUGUAUCAUUUUUUCUUAACAAUAGGCAUAGAGUUCCUGACUCUUAUGCUAUAUGAUCAGCUUACUCCUGCUUCACUGUACUAAUUCCUGACUGUUGUAUGUAAGGAGUAAAAUAGUUUACUUGAGUGAUAUCCACUGGUUCACUAUCUUAGAGCACCUUUUUAGCAUUGUGGGCUGCUAAUAGUAUUUUAGACUUAUCAUAUCCUCUCUGGCGCGAUGGCAGAAGCACAUGAUAGACUACUAAAUGGACAAGUAUCUACAACGUUUAGCAUCAAAGAUGAUGCUUACCAGAUGUUCUACUGCAGCCCCGUCCAUAUCAUCGACAUGAAGUUAGGUAUCUACUCGUCCUAAAAUUGACGGCCUGAAGCUUGAUGCAUGUAUAAUGUGACACACACAUCAGGAUAUCUGAAUAAUUUUGACAUGUUUGCUCUGUUAUCUAGCAGUAGGUUGAUACUUGUCACUUGCCCUUUCCAAAUACAUAUCAGUUUUGUUGUUAUGAGAAUGUUAUAUGCAUGGUUUCUUAUUAGAUCUCAAAUUCUGCAGCUAUGUUUCAUUGUUAGAAGAAUGUUAUAUGCACGGGUACACUUGAUUGUGUUCCCUAACUUUUCUGAUUUUUUGAUUUAUAAUCCGCAGAUUUUGGCCUUCAUUCAUAAAAAGUUUGUGUACAAGGAACUCCAGGAGAAGAAUCUUUAAGUAAAUAAUUUAUAUAGAUCAGGAUCUUAUGUUGUCGAGGUGGCUGCUGCUGUGACCAAAGAUCAGCCUGGAGAUGUGCAUCAUAGUCUUAGUUAAUGUUACCACCAUGUUUUGGUGCCUGUGUAUUUGAUUGUAUGUACACUUGAUGGAUCAUGUAGUCGUGUACGUGCUGUUUUGAGUUUCAUUUAGUGAUUUCUGGAUUUGAUCAUUUAAUUGAGAAAAUUAUUUAUUGUUUAGUGUUGAAAUGUGUAAAAUUGAAAUCUGUGAUUGAAAAAGAUUGAAUGUUCUAUUGGAUUGAAUAAUAUUUGGGCUCUAAAAAGG
RNAcentral lists this long non-coding RNA (1078 nucleotides) under Triticum aestivum (bread wheat). RNAcentral's name for it is "long non-coding RNA (TAES_LNC003009)". Lineage: Eukaryota; Viridiplantae; Streptophyta; Magnoliopsida; Poales; Poaceae. The record is from RNAcentral.